UAGAUGUAUUAAGUUAUAUAUUAUAAGGACUAAAUUAGAAUCUAUCAAUAAAUGAGGGACUAAAAAUGUUAUCUGAAAAAUACAUUAAAGAAGAGAUAGAGAUUUUACAUAAAGAGCAGAGCUAUUCUCACGGAUCUUGCCUGCCUUUUACGACCCAUAAUAUCUUUUCUUUUUAAAAUAUUGUACCAAUAUGUGACACGUACAUUCUAUAUAAACCACCCACUUUUUGUGUUCUUAGCCAAUAGUAAGUUAGAUAGAUAUCAUAGAAGAAGAUCAUCUAGUAACACAAGAAUAUUUCUAGCAGAAUAUCUUUGAGGUCAUGGCAACGUAUCAUCAGAAUAGAAAAACUACUAAAUGGGUCCGAACAAUCACAUCUCCGUUCAGAAAAGCUCGAACUUUGUUCAAUCAAGAAUCAUCGAGGGAUCAUAAGAAGUCGCAUCAAGAAGGGCCGGAGAACCAUAUUGUGAAUUUGCAGAUUGAAGUAAUGACUUGUCCAUAUGAAGAUGUUCAAGUGAUGUGGUCAAUUUUAGACAAGUCAAAGCCAAGAACUUGAACCUUUGUCCAUUUUUCCCAUUUGGAGAAGCUAUCAAGAAUCAAGCAAUUUAUGUACAUUAUUGCUAUUUGUCUUGUGGAUGUGGUGGCUAUAAUCUGACACCCAAAAGCAAGAUUUGGAAAAAUGUUAAUGGCUCUAGUUUGGUAGGUAGAAAAAACAGGUGACAAAUUGGUUGUUAUUCAAGCUAGACUUGUUUUGAUACCAAUUUGUUUUUUUAGUUCAAUCCCCAUGAUAAAUUAUAUCAUGGUGAGAUUUUACUGUAUUUGGAUUUCCAUUAUAAUUCUACAUUCAUUUGUGAAUUACAUUCAAAGGUUGUUUUGAUUCACACACUAAUUAUGCAAGAAUAGUUUAUGUGAUGAA
Long non-coding RNA from Lycium ferocissimum, 913 nucleotides. RefSeq lists it as uncharacterized. The record is from RefSeq and is a predicted model, not a curated record. Lineage: Eukaryota; Viridiplantae; Streptophyta; Magnoliopsida; Solanales; Solanaceae. The transcript has 2 exons.